AUUGAACGCUGGCGGCAGGCUUAACACAUGCAAGUCGAACGAGUGGCGGACGGGUGAGUAAUGCUUGGGAAUCUAGCUUAUGGAGGGGGAUAACUACGGGAAACUGUAGCUAAUACCGCGUACCAUAGGAUGAGCCCAAGUGGGAUUAGGUAGUUGGUGAGGUAAAGGCUCACCAAGCCGACGAUCUCUAGCUGGUCUGAGAGGAUGACCAGCCCAACUGGGACUGAGACACGGCCCAGACUCCGAAGGGAGGCAGCAGUGGGUAAUAUUGCGCAAUGGGCGCAAGCCUGAUACAUCCAUGCCGCGUGUAUGAAUAAGGCCUUCGGGUUGUAAAGUACUUGCAGUCGGGAGGCGUUACAGACAGAAGAAGCACCGGCUAACUCCGUGCCAGCAGCCGCGGUAAUAC
Molecule: ribosomal RNA, 406 nt
Filed under: uncultured bacterium
Lineage: Bacteria
Description: partial 16S ribosomal RNA
Rfam family: Bacterial small subunit ribosomal RNA
Source: RNAcentral